Molecule: ribosomal RNA, 812 nt
Filed under: uncultured bacterium
Lineage: Bacteria
Description: bacterial SSU rRNA
Rfam family: Bacterial small subunit ribosomal RNA
Source: RNAcentral
GAGCGGGGGUUGCACUACUUCAGCGGGGGAAGGGGGAGUAACACGUGGGAACGUGCCUUUUGGUUUNGAACAACUGAAGGAANCUUCAUCUAGUACCGGAUAAGCCCUAACGGGGAAAGAUUUAUCGCCGAAAGACCGGCCCGGGUCUGAUUAGCUAAUUGGUGAGGUAAUGGCUCACCAGGGCGACUAUCAGUAGCUGGUCUGAGAGGAUGAUCAGCCACACUGGGACUGAGACACGGCCCAGACUCCUACGGGAGCCAGCAGUGGGGAAUAUUGGACAAUGGGGGCAACCCUGAUCCAGCCAUGCCGCGUGAGUGAUGAAGGCCCUAGGGUUGUAAAGCUCUUUUGUGCGGGAAGAUAAUGACGGUACCGCAAGAAUAAGCCCCGGCUAACUUCGUGCCAGCAGCCGCGGUAAUACUAAGGGGGCUAGCGUUGCUCGGAAUCACUGGGCGUAAAGGGUGCGUAAGCGGGUCUUUAAGUCAGGGGUGAAAUCCUGGAGCUCAACUCCAGAACUGCCUUUGACACUGAGGAUCUUGAGUCCGGAAGAGGUGAGUGGAACUGCCAGUGUAAGGUGAAAUUCGUAGAUAUUCCUAAGAACACCAGUGGCGAACGCGGCUCACUGGUCCGUACUGACACCUGAGGCACGAAACCUGGGGAGCAAAUGGAAUAGAUACCCUGGUAGUCCACGCUGUAAACGAUGAAUGCCAGCCGUUGGGGAGUGUACUCUUACGUGGCGCAUUAACGCUUCUAGCAUUCCCCUUGGGGAGUACCGGUCGCAAGAUUAAAACUCCAAGGAAAUGACGGGGGCCCGC